RNAcentral lists this ribosomal RNA (253 nucleotides) under uncultured bacterium. Its description in RNAcentral is "partial 16S ribosomal RNA". It matches the Rfam family "Bacterial small subunit ribosomal RNA", at positions 524 to 776 of the family's 1533-position model. The record is from RNAcentral.
UACGUAGGGUGCAAGCGUUGUCCGGAAUUAUUGGGCGUAAAGAGCUCGUAGGCGGCCUGUCGCGUCGACUGUGAAAACCCAGGGCUCAACCCUGGGCCUGCAGUCGAUACGGGCAGGCUAGAGUGCAGUAGGGGAGACUGGAAUUCCUGGUGUAGCGGUGAAAUGCGCAGAUAUCAGGAGGAACACCGGUGGCGAAGGCGGGUCUCUGGGCUGUAACUGACGCUGAGGCGCGAAAGCGUGGGGAGCAAACGGG